CGCGCUCCGCACCCAAUCCCCCGUCCUCUCGUCUCACUCCCGCACCAGCCGCCACGCAAUCCUAGGUCUCCUUGCGCUUCGUUCCCCGCUCGCUCGUCCCUCGGUUCUCCCCAUCCCUCCUCUACUCCGGCUGCUACGCCGCCUCUCCCUCCACAACGCGACCAGCUCGAGCUCCACCUCAUCCAUCGCCAUCUCAAGGAGACGGCUGCACAAGACGUCCGGCGCCGUCACCAUCUCUUCGGCACAAGUGAAGCACGGGAUGCUUGCUGCGUCGCCGUCGUCCUUUCUCUCGCUGCCACCACCACCCCGACCGAGCCAUCCCCGUGCUCUCGUUGAGCCUUCCCCCCCUCCGGGCUCACUGACCCAGGUGGCGGUGAAGGAGAGGGUGAGCUCGAGUGGUAGGCAAGGGAGGAGGGCGUGAGCCCUCGUUGAUGCGGUCUCCGUCAGAGGCGACGGGGGAUGGAUCCGCAGGCUGGGCAGCUGGAGGUGGAGGCCACGGCGGGGCGACCACUGGUCCACGGACCGGGCGGAGGACGGGGAGGGGAGGGCGAGUCGCCCCCUCCCCCCACCACCACGCGCAGGUUUGCGUUGGGGAUUGAUUCCUACCAGUGAAAUCUGCAAGGGAGCCGACCUACAGUUUCAUGUAUAGCUCGAGCUCAAGGCGGAGACAAGGAAGGUCGGAAAAUGAAGAGAUGGGAUGAAGGUGCUCGCACUGAAUAUAUAUAGUAGCUGGUGCACGAGCUUGCACUCAACCAGUCUAGACUCAACUCCUCAUAUCGGGUGCGGACUGAGAGUUGGAUGCUCUGUGCCAGCAUAUGGAUGUGUUGCGACCACUGUUGCUUCGGCUGUGAGCGGUCCAGGAUUGCAACCUGGUGUCAUCCACUCCCUACUCACAGGUUACCGUAGUGUUAUGUAAAACAUACCCAAGCUCUCGUUCCUUAAAAUUAUCCAUCUAUUAACUGGAUUAUGAAUAAUUGCUCUUGCAAGUGAAUUUUCAUUACGUGAGUUGAGGAGGAUGCGCGGUCUUCAGACUCGGAGAUUUCUAGUUUUUUCAUUUGAUCAUUUCUGCAGAGAUUGUCCUUCUAUGCAUUAUUUGGUAACCAUCUACUACAGAUCAGCUACUACCCUGCUGCUGCCCUUAUGGUGAAUGAUUGAUGGUGCAUGUUUUCCUGUUAGUUUUUCUGUAUGCCAAGUCUGAAUUUUAUCAUUUUGCAUUUUUCCAGCCCUUUCAUUCUCACUGUGAUUCCCUGAGAUGCAUUGUCCAUAGGCAAUGCACUUUCUAAUAAAAUAUGGCGGUAACCUUGAAAAGACUAAUUUAUCUAGCUACAAAAACAUGUUGUUUAUGUUCCUUGCUUUUGCAAAUACUCCCUCCGUCCGGAAAUACUUGUCCUAGGAAUGGUUGUAUCUAGACUUAGUUUAGUUAUAGAUACAUCCAUUUUAUCCAUUUUUAGGACAAGUAUUUCCGGAAGGAGGGAGUAGUAGUUUAUGGUUGACACUUUAGUCUAUAUCUGUCAUGCACCCAUCUGGACUAUAAAUAGGACCCUCCACCACCACUUGCUAGCAAGUACUACAUCAUACAGCAACAGACACCAUGGAUCUACUUCUGCUACUCAUCUCGCUUCUUAUGGUCACUACAGGAUAGUGAAUCUGGCUUGCGAGUUUUGUCGAUGCGGCCAUGACGGCGAUGCCAAACUCUGAGGAGAUACCAAAGGUGUACUGGGAUAAUCUUGUUGUGCUUUGUUUCUGUAUGAUCUAAAACUACAAGGAUCUUGUUCAGUUCAGAUGUUCUGGAAUGACUGCUUACUUAUAUGGAUAACUUGAACUGAAAGCAAGAGUAGAAUCCCAUGAGAUGAGCCACAAGGAAAAUAUGCAUGAAAAUGGCACAAUCAUGAUUCAGUUUGGUCAGCAAGUACCUAAUUACAAGUCAUCAGCUAGCGAUUCUCCCCAAGAAGUGUUCGGAAUGAGCAAAGGAAGCUUUAAUGAAAAGAAUAUUGAUGUUGAUGUUGUACAAUAGCCGGAAGAUCACAAGAGAUCGACCUUUUGGGUGGUCUAAUACUUCCUAUAUGGGCACAUCGAAAAGCCACUACCUGAUAUUUAUUGUACCUCAUCUUCGCUCCUGGUUGGCGGGGAACCUCUCAUGGUCGAGCCCCUAGCCCCGCACCUUGGCAGCUGCCUGGAGAGGAGGAUAGCUCGAGGACAACUCCCAAUGUGCCGAGGAGAUGGGAACAUGAUAAGCCGAUGCCUAAUAAGGAUCAGGAGAACAACAGAUAUGCUAAGAGACAAUCUUUUGGGGUUAAGGAUAUAAACAACAACAGGGCUUAUGAGGCCGAAGAGAGCUCGAGUGGCGUCUUUUGGUUCUUGAAGACCUGCACGUUCCUGGUGGAGUAGAGCAAAAUAAUUUGGAGGCUUUAAAGCUACUGCACUUCAUGUAGUUAGGAUCAAUUCUCUGUUUCAGUUUGAAAUAUUCCCCAUUUCCUCCUAUUUGAUUGAUUCAUCUGAUGGACAUUUUGUCAGGCAAAUAAACAAAAGGCAUAUGUAUUGUUACGAGUGAAGCCAUCCAUACUCCCAUGUGGAAUUCAAGAAAUAGAGAAAUGUUAUUGUUCUUCUA
Triticum aestivum (bread wheat) is the source of this 2608-nucleotide long non-coding RNA. RefSeq lists it as uncharacterized. The record is from RefSeq and is a predicted model, not a curated record. The transcript is spliced from 11 exons. Lineage: Eukaryota; Viridiplantae; Streptophyta; Magnoliopsida; Poales; Poaceae.